RNAcentral lists this long non-coding RNA (523 nucleotides) under Sinocyclocheilus grahami. RNAcentral's name for it is "lncRNA (ENSSGRG00000007435.1)". Lineage: Eukaryota; Metazoa; Chordata; Actinopteri; Cypriniformes; Cyprinidae. The record is from RNAcentral.
AGCUUACCGCGCUGUUUGUUCAGCCUGAGGGAGUCGCGAGAGGGAGGAGCUGAUCACUCGCUCCCUCAAUCCAGUUAUAAACUGAAAUACUGAACGGGAAACUCGUGUGUCAGGCAGAGACUGAGCGGUAUCUCUCUUGAAACGGGAACAAAGGACUGCGGUAAAAGUGGGAACUGUACCAUGUUUAAGGGAGUGCUGAAGAAAGGGCGAGAGGGAGGCGGAAGAACUGGCAAAAGAGACACAGGAAGUCAAUCCCUCAGCCCCAGUUUCCAUCACAGAGUUCAGGAAGAGGAGAUUGUGGGUGUUCAGAAUCAUGGGAGUGGGCCGCUGCCAGUACAGCCGUACCCUGCAGAGGAGAUGCUGAGGCCGAGUUUUACCAGAGGAGUGUCCGUCUCCCUCCCUUCCUCCCCCCUGCUCCUUCCCCGCCAACCCUAUCUUUCUCCAGUCCGGUCCAACAAGUCACCAGGUACAUAACAGUCACUUUUUAAAUGUACUUACUAGGAGUGUGCGAUAUUGACAGUUU